RNAcentral lists this ribosomal RNA (440 nucleotides) under uncultured bacterium. Its description in RNAcentral is "bacterial SSU rRNA". It matches the Rfam family "Bacterial small subunit ribosomal RNA", at positions 338 to 790 of the family's 1533-position model. The record is from RNAcentral.
CCUACGGGAGGCAGCAGUGGGGAAUCUUGCGCAAUGGGCGAAAGCCUGACGCAGCGACGCCGCGUGCGGGAAGAAGGCCUUCGGGUUGUAAACCGCUUUCAGCAGGGAAGAAGCGAAAGUGACGGUACCUGCAGAAGAAGGACCGGCCAACUACGUGCCAGCAGCCGCGGUAAUACGUAGGGUCCGAGCGUUGUCCGGAAUUAUUGGGCGUAAAGAGCUCGUAGGCGGUCCCUUAAGUUAGAUGUGAAAUCUCAGGGCUCAACCCUGAAAUUGCAUCUGAUACUGGGGGACUUGAGGCAGGUAGGGGAAGGUGGAAUUCCUGGUGUAGCGGUGAAAUGCGCAGAUAUCAGGAGGAACACCAAUGGCGAAGGCAGCCUUCUGGGCCUGUACUGACGCUGAGGAGCGAAAGCGUGGGGAGCGAACAGGAUUAGAUACCCUAG